This 550-nucleotide ribosomal RNA is filed under the name uncultured bacterium. RNAcentral describes it as "bacterial SSU rRNA". It matches the Rfam family "Bacterial small subunit ribosomal RNA", at positions 356 to 896 of the family's 1533-position model. The record is from RNAcentral.
GGGGAAUCUUCCGCAAUGGGCGAAAGCCUGACGGAGCAACGCCGCGUGAGUGAAGACGGCCUUCGGGUUGUAAAGCCCUGUUAUACGGGACGAAAAAUCUUGUGGUUAAUACCCAUAAGAAGUGACGGUACCGUAAGAGAAAGCCACGGCUAACUACGUGCCAGCAGCCGCGGUAAUACGUAGGUGGCAAGCGUUGUCCGGAAUUAUUGGGCGUAAAGGGCGCGCAGGCGGCUUCUUAAGUCUGUCUUAAAAGUGCGGGGCUUAACCCCGUGAUGGGAUGGAAACUGGGAAGCUCAGAGUAUCGGAGAGGAAAGCGGAAUUCCUAGUGUAGCGGUGAAAUGCGUAGAUAUUAGGAGGAACACCAGUGGCGAAAGCGGCUUUCUGGACGAAAACUGACGCUGAGGCGCGAAAGCCAGGGGAGCGAACGGGAUUAGAUACCCCGGUAGUCCUGGCCGUAAACGAUGGGUACUAGGUGUAGGAGGUAUCGACCCCUUCUGUGCCGGAGUUAACGCAAUAAGUACCCCGCCUGGGGAGUACGGCCGCAAGGUUG